Molecule: ribosomal RNA, 453 nt
Filed under: uncultured bacterium
Lineage: Bacteria
Description: bacterial SSU rRNA
Rfam family: Bacterial small subunit ribosomal RNA
Source: RNAcentral
UACGGAAGGCAGCAGUGGGGAAUAUUGCACAAUGGGCGCAAGCCUGAUGCAGCCAUGCCGCGUGUAUGAAGAAGGCCUUCGGGUUGUAAAGUACUUUCAGUUGUGAGGAAGGUGUUAAGGUUAAUAACCUUAGCAAUUGACGUUAGCGACAGAAGAAGCACCGGCUAACUCCGUGCCAGCAGCCGCGGUAAUACGGAGGGUGCGAGCGUUAAUCGGAAUUACUGGGCGUAAAGGGCACGCAGGCGGUUAAUUAAGUUGGAUGUGAAAUCCCCGGGCUUAACCUGGGAAUGGCAUUCAAGACUGGUUAGCUAGAGUCUUGUAGAGGGGGUAGAAUUCCAUGUGUAGCGGUGAAAUGCGUAGAGAUGUGGAGGAAUACCGGUGGCGAAGGCGGCCCCUGGGACAAAGACUGACGCUCAUGUGCGAAAGCGUGGGGAGCAAACAGGAUUAGAUACC